RNAcentral lists this ribosomal RNA (235 nucleotides) under uncultured bacterium. RNAcentral's name for it is "partial 16S ribosomal RNA". It matches the Rfam family "Bacterial small subunit ribosomal RNA", at positions 96 to 334 of the family's 1533-position model. The record is from RNAcentral.
UGGCGGACGGGUGAGUAAUGUCUGGGAAACUGCCUGAUGGGGGGGGAUAACUACUGGAAACGGUAGCUAAUACCGCAUAACGUCGCAAGACCAAAGAGGGGGACCUUAGGGCCUCUUGCCAUCGGAUGUGCCCAGAUGGGAUUAGCUAGUAGGUGGGGUAAAGGCUCACCUAGGCGACGAUCCCUAGCUGGUCUGAGAGGAUGACCAGCCACACUGGAACUGAGACACGGUCCAG